Molecule: non-coding RNA, 263 nt
Organism: Anaerolineae bacterium SM23_84
Lineage: Bacteria; Bacillati; Chloroflexota; Anaerolineae
Source: Rfam
UCGUGCUAGACGGGGAGCUAGCGGUGCCCUGUACCCGCAAGCCGCUAUAGCGGGGUCGAAUUCCCCCUCGAGGUGCCGCACAUUGGGACUGCUUCGACCAAGUGGCGUUGAAGAUUGGGUCCUACGCGGCAGAGGCCUGUGAACCCCGCCAGGUCCGGGAGGAAGCAACGGUAAGCAGUUUCCUCUGGGUGCCGUAGGGUUGCCUGAUUGGAGCAGGCUAGUCGCGGUAAGCCGGUGUGUUGACAUCGACAGGGGGUGCACGA